This 60-nucleotide transfer RNA is filed under the name Dipodomys ordii (Ord's kangaroo rat). It matches the Rfam family "tRNA", at positions 7 to 64 of the family's 71-position model. Rfam says of the family: Transfer RNA (tRNA) molecules are approximately 80 nucleotides in length. Lineage: Eukaryota; Metazoa; Chordata; Mammalia; Rodentia; Heteromyidae. The record is from Rfam by way of RNAcentral.
GUGGCUCAAUGGUAGAGCAUUUGCCUUGCAUGCAUGAGGCCCUGGGUUUGAUUCCUCAGC